AUGAUGUCACAAGGGGGAUGCCGUUGAGGCGGGACUUGGCUAACGGAGAGUUGAGACUCCAUGGAGUUUCGGGACAAAAAAAAAAUGAUUUGGAUCGGGUCGGUACUUAAGAAUUUUUGGGGUCGGGUUUGCUUUGAAACUAGAGACCCGGGUCGUGGUUAGAAACGAGGUCAGAGUUCAAAAACCCGCACCCUAUUCUCUAAACGGUGCACUACUUGGACAGGGUCAUAGGUCACACUUGGUCUGGGUUGGGUUUAUCCGGGUCGGUGGGUCCCUGGAGGACCGUAUGUGGACAACAACAACAACAACAACAGGUUAUGGAGCGGCGCUGCAUUAAAAGAACCACCGGGGUGGUUGUGUUCUGAUCCGGGUCUCGCCGACCGUGUCAGGUGGACAGUACGGUCUCGCCGACCGUGUCAGGUGGACAGUAUGGUCUCGCCGACCGUGUGAGGUGGACAGUAUGGUCUCGCCGACCGUGUGAAGUGGACAGUAUGGUUAGUGGACUGGUUCUGCCGUUGUAGGCAGGACUGGGUUCGCUGUAGCACAACAAAUGACGCACAACAGCAACACUUUACUGACGUUGUUUACAAUGUUGUUUACAACGUUGUUUACAAUGUUGUUUACAAUCUUUACAACGACCAGGAAUAUUUACGCUACACAAUAUUACAGUACUGUAUGUACAACUGUGUACUAUGUAGUACUAACGUGUAUAACUGUGUACUCUCUGGUACUAAUGGGUAUAACUGUGAGCUAUGUAGUACUAACAGGUAUAACUGUGUACUAUGUAGUACUAACAKGUAUAACUGUGUACUMUGUAGUACUAACRGSUAUAACUGUGUACUAUGUAGUACUAACRGSUAUAACUGUGUACUAUKUAGUACUAACRGSUAUAACUGUGUACUAUGUAGUACUAACAGGUAUAACUGUGUACUAUGUAGUACUAGCAUCAUAUCUGCUGUGCAGACUCUCUCCUCUAGGAGUGUUUUAAUAAUAAAUAUGACGUUUAUAUUUCA
Long non-coding RNA from Salvelinus sp. IW2-2015, 1013 nucleotides. RefSeq lists it as uncharacterized. The record is from RefSeq and is a predicted model, not a curated record. Lineage: Eukaryota; Metazoa; Chordata; Actinopteri; Salmoniformes; Salmonidae.